CAGUGGCGACGGGCAGCAGCACUUCGUGAUCCUGAUUUCUUCCACCCCAGGCAAGAAGUGCCCACCAUGGGUACCACCACCACCCCACCCCCCCCUCCCCGAGGACUAAAUGAGCAGCAGGGAGUGACAAACAGUCAGGUGCACCUAAGUUCCAGCCAAGCUCUACCAUCGACCCUCUAUGACUUGGGGAGAGCUGAAGCCCAUGAGAAGAACCUAACAAGCUCAUGGUCUGGCCCUCAUGGACACCCCGGGGACUGCCAGGUGAAGUGGAGUCAAAGCCUGCUCUCAACCCUGGGCAUGGGUGGAGACAUGAGUCAGCAUGAGUGGCCUGAGGGGGAGGGUCAGCAGCCCUGUCCGAGGCAAUGGGAAAAGCACUGAACUUUAAGGCAAAUGGCCCAGGUUGAGUCCUGGCUCCUCCCUCUGCCUUCACUAGUUUUGUAAUAUUGAACAAGUCAAUACAUGAAUUUCAUAAUCUAU
RNAcentral lists this non-coding RNA (477 nucleotides) under Pongo abelii (Sumatran orangutan). The record is from RNAcentral. Lineage: Eukaryota; Metazoa; Chordata; Mammalia; Primates; Hominidae.